GAUGAACGCUGGCGGCGUGUCUAAUACAUGCAAGUCGAGCGAACGGACGAGAAGCUUGCUUCUCUGAUGUUAGCGGCGGACGGGUGAGUAACACGUGGAUAACCUACCUAUAAGACUGGGAUAACUUCGGGAAACCGGAGCUAAUACCGGAUGAUAUUUUGAACCGCAUGGUUCAAAAGUGAAAGACGGUCUUGCUGUCACUUAUAGAUGGAUCCGCGCUGCAUUAGCUAGUUGGUAAGGUAACGGCUUACCUAGGCAACGAUGCAUAGCCGACCUGAGAGGGUGAUCGGCCACACUGGAACUGAGACACGGUCCAGACUCCUACGGGAGGCAGCAGUAGGGAAUCUUCCGCAAUGGGCGAAAGCCUGACGGAGCAACGCCGCGUGAGUGAUGAAGGUCUUCGGAUCGUAAAACUCUGUUAUUAGGGAAGAACAUAUGUGUAAGUAACUGUGCACAUCUUGACGGUACCUAAUCAGAAAGCCACGGCUAACUACGUG
Molecule: ribosomal RNA, 497 nt
Filed under: uncultured bacterium
Lineage: Bacteria
Description: partial 16S ribosomal RNA
Rfam family: Bacterial small subunit ribosomal RNA
Source: RNAcentral